CCUACGGGGGGCAGCAGUGGGGAAUAUUGGACAAUGGGGGCAACCCUGAUCCAGCCAUGCCGCGUGUGUGAAGAAGGCCUUUUGGUUGUAAAGCACUUUAAGCGAGGAGGAGGGCACUUUGGCUAAUACCCGAAUGUGUCGGACGUUACUCGCAGAAUAAGCACCGGCUAACUCUGUGCCAGCAGCCGCGGUAAUACAGAGGGUGCGAGCGUUAAUCGGAAUUACUGGGCGUAAAGCGCGCGUAGGCGGUUAUGUAAGUUGGAUGUGAAAUCCCCGGGCUUAACCUGGGCACUGCAUUCAAAACUGCAUAGCUAGAGUAUGGGAGAGGAAGGUAGAAUUCCAGGUGUAGCGGUGAAAUGCGUAGAGAUCUGGAGGAAUACCGAUGGCGAAGGCAGCCUUCUGGCCUAAUACUGACGCUGAGGUGCGAAAGCAUGGGGAGCAAACAGGAUUAGAUACCCCAGUAGUC
Molecule: ribosomal RNA, 466 nt
Filed under: uncultured bacterium
Lineage: Bacteria
Description: bacterial SSU rRNA
Rfam family: Bacterial small subunit ribosomal RNA
Source: RNAcentral